Molecule: small nucleolar RNA, 138 nt
Organism: Ornithorhynchus anatinus (platypus)
Lineage: Eukaryota; Metazoa; Chordata; Mammalia; Monotremata; Ornithorhynchidae
Source: RefSeq, a predicted model, not a curated record
CCUCUCUCAGGGUCGCACCUGGAGAGUUUCCAGUAAUCUACCAGUCACAGCUGCAGGAGGGAGAGUCCAGCAGAGGUCUACCCAUUUCAUUCCUAGCUUGGGCAGUGGCUAGUGAGUGGAAGGCAAUCUGCUACAAGU